GACGAGUCCCAAACAGGACGAGACGCGCGUC
This 31-nucleotide non-coding RNA is filed under the name Schistosoma mattheei. The record is from RNAcentral. Lineage: Eukaryota; Metazoa; Platyhelminthes; Trematoda; Strigeidida; Schistosomatidae.